Molecule: ribosomal RNA, 478 nt
Filed under: uncultured bacterium
Lineage: Bacteria
Description: partial 16S ribosomal RNA
Rfam family: Bacterial small subunit ribosomal RNA
Source: RNAcentral
GACGAACGCUGGCGGCGUGCUUAACACAUGCAAGUCGAACGGUAAGGCCCUUCGGGGUACACGAGUGGCGAACGGGUGAGUAACACGUGGGUGAUCUGCCCUGCACUUCAGGAUAAGCCUGGGAAACUGGGGCUAAUACCGGAUAGGACCACUGCCUGCAUGGGUGGAGGGGGAAAGCUUUUGCGGUGUGGGAUGGGCCCGCGGCCUAUCAGCUUGUUGGUGGGGGGAUGGCCUACCAAGGCGACGACGGGUAGCCGGCCGGAGAGGGUGACCGGCCACACUGGGACUGAGAUACGGCCCAGACUCCUACGGGAGGCAGCAGUGGGGAAUAUUGCACAAUGGGCGCAAGCCUGAUGCAGCGACGCCGCGUGAGGGAUGACGGCCUUCGGGUUGUAAACCUCUUUCAGCACCGACGAAGCGCAAGUGACGGUAGGUGCAGAAGAAGGACCGGCCAACUACGUGCCAGCCGCCGCCGUAA